Molecule: ribosomal RNA, 432 nt
Filed under: Triticum aestivum (bread wheat)
Lineage: Eukaryota; Viridiplantae; Streptophyta; Magnoliopsida; Poales; Poaceae
Description: partial small subunit ribosomal RNA
Source: RNAcentral
UUGUUUGGAAACCUUGGAAAGUGCACCUUUUGCACCGGCCGAGUAUCUUUUCUUGGCUAUGUUGUUACUCCACUGGGAAUUGAAGUUGAUAAAGCCAAGAUUGAAGCUAUUGAGAGUUGGUCGCAGCCCAAAAUGGUCACACAAGUGAGGAGUUUCCUUGGCCUCGCUGGUUUCUAUAGGCGUUUUGUGAGAGAUUUCAGCACCAUUGCUGCACCUCUCAACGAGCUUACAAAGAAGGAUGUGCCUUUUGUUUGGGGUAUCGCACAGGAAGAAGCCUUCACAGUAUUGAAAGAUAAGUUGACACAUGCUCCUUUACUCCAACUUCCUAAUUUCAAUAAGACUUUUGAGCUUGAAUGUGAUGCUAGUGGAACUGGAUUAGGAGGUGUGUUAUUACAAGAUGGAAAACCUGUUGCAUACUUUUCUGAAAAAUUG